Molecule: ribosomal RNA, 460 nt
Filed under: uncultured bacterium
Lineage: Bacteria
Description: bacterial SSU rRNA
Rfam family: Bacterial small subunit ribosomal RNA
Source: RNAcentral
UACGGAAGGCAGCAGUGGGGAAUAUUGCACAAUGGGCGCAAGCCUGAUGCAGCCAUGCCGCGUGUAUGAAGAAGGCCUUCGGGUUGUAAAGUACUUUCAGCGGGGAGGAAGGCGAUGCGGUUAAUAACCGCGUCGAUUGACGUUACCCGCAGAAGAAGCACCGGCUAACUCCGUGCCAGCAGCCGCGGUAAUACGGAGGGUGCAAGCGUUAAUCGGAAUUACUGGGCGUAAAGCGCACGCAGGCGGUCUGUUAAGUCAGAUGUGAAAUCCCCGGGCUUAACCUGGGAACUGCAUUUUGAAACUGGCAGGCUUGAGUCUUGUAGAGGGGGUAGAAUUCCAGGUGUAGCGGUGAAAUGCGUAGAGAUCUGGAGGAAUACCGGUGGCGAAGGCGGCCCCUGGGACAAAGCUGACGCUCAGGUGCGAAAGCGUGGGGAGCAAACGAGGAUUUAGGAUACCCGGU